AGAGUUAAUUGAAUAGUCGCUGGUAAAAUUCGAAAGGAUUUACGAGAGGAAAGUCCGGGCUCCAUAGAGCAAAGAUGCUAGAUAACGUCUAGUGAGGGAAACCUUAAGGAAAGUGCAACAGAAAAUAACCGCCAUUUAUGGUAAGGGUGAAAAGGUAAGGUAAGAGCUUACCGCUAUUAUGGUGACAUAAUAGGUCAAUGCAAACCCCAUCUGGAGCAACACCUAAAAUUAAGAAGAUUAAACCUGCUCGGUGCCUUCUUAGAUUGCGUGGCUUGAGAUAUAUAGCAAUAUAUAUCCUAGAUAAAUGACUAUUUUAAAAGACAGAACCCGGCUUACAGAUUAACUUUAACC
Clostridium sp. CAG:440 is the source of this 351-nucleotide non-coding RNA. Lineage: Bacteria; Bacillati; Bacillota; Clostridia; Eubacteriales; Clostridiaceae. The record is from Rfam.